AGUGAACGCUGGCGGUAGGCCUAACACAUGCAAGUCGAACGGAAGCACAGUAAGCGCUUGCUCUUACGGGUGGCGAGUGGCGGACGGGUGAGGCAUACAUCGGAAUCUACUUUUUCGUGGGGGAUAACGUAGGGAAACUUACGCUAAUACCGCAUACGACCUACGGGUGAAAGCAGGGGAUCUUCGGACCUUGCGCGAUUGAAUGAGCCGAUGUCGGAUUAGCUAGUUGGCGGGGUAAAGGCCCACCAAGGCGACGAUCCGUAGCUGGUCUGAGAGGAUGAUCAGCCACACUGGAACUGAGACACGGUCCAGACUCCUACGGGAGGCAGCAGAGGGGAAUAUUGGACAAUGGGCGCAAGCCUAAGCCAGCCAUACCGCGUAGGUGAAGAAGGCCUUCGAGUUGUAAAGCCCUUUUGUUGGGAAAGAAAAACAGCAGGUUAAUACCCCGCUGUUCUGACGGUACCCAAAGAAUAAGCACCGGCUAACUUCGU
This 491-nucleotide ribosomal RNA is filed under the name uncultured bacterium. RNAcentral describes it as "partial 16S ribosomal RNA". It matches the Rfam family "Bacterial small subunit ribosomal RNA", at positions 29 to 506 of the family's 1533-position model. The record is from RNAcentral.